AGGUCCAAGGAAAAAUAGAAGAAUUCAUCAAUGAAUUUGUCAUUCUGUCACAAAUUAACCACAGAAACGUGGUCAAGUUGUUAGGAAGUUGUUUGGAGACUGAAAUUCCUUUACUUGUUUAUGAAUUCAUUCCUAAUGGUAACCUUUUUGAGUACUUGCAUCAACAAAAUGAGGAUUUUCCUAUGACAUGGGACAUGCGUUUGAGAAUUGCCACUGAAGUUGCUGGAGCUUUGUUUUACUUGCACUCUGGUGCUUCUCAGCCUAUUUAUCAUAAAGAUAUCAAGUCAACAAAUAUACUUUUGGAUGAAAAGUAUAGAGCAAAAGUAGCAGACUUUGGUACAUCUAGAAUGAUUUCCAGUGAUGUUACUCACCUUACUACAGUAGUUCAAGGAACAUUUGGAUACUUGGACCCUGAAUAUUUUCAAACAAGUCAAUUCACAGAAAAAAGUGACGUCUAUAGCUUCGGAGUAGUUCUUGUUGAACUCUUAACCGGGAAAAGGCCAAUAACCCUCACAAGUUCAGAGGAAGCCAAAAGUUUAGCUUCAUAUUUCAUCAUGUGUGUGGAGCAAGAUUGUGUAUUUGAUAUUAUUGAUGAAAGAGUGAUGAAGGAAGGGGAGAAAAAUCAUAUCAUGGAAGUCGUCAAUCUUGCAAAUAGAUGUUUAGAGCUGAAUGGAAAAAGACGACCAACUGCGAAGGAAGUCACAUUAGAAUUAGAAAGUAUUCGAAAAUUGGAAGGAAAGUCAAAUGCACAAGAAAGACAUAAUGAACUUGUUAGAAGUGAAGACUAUCAAUCUUGGGAUGAUUAUUCUACUAUCUUAGAAAUAAGGUCAGCCUUUGAUCUAAGUUGCAGAACACCAACCUUGGAAGAUAUUCAUAUUCGUACCAUAUAACGGGUAUGUAUUCUUAAUUUGUGUUAAAUAAAAUUAUUUUGGUUAAAUAAUAAGUAUAUAACCUUCAAUAAAAUUUUGAAGGUUUUUUUUAAGGUUGUACUUGAAUAUUGUGAUUAUACGUUGUCAAAUAUGAUUAUUGAUAAGUUUUCCUGUGUAUAUUAGAUUGUAUAUGAUGUAUACCACGAAUGCACAUAUGCACUGAUGUUUGUGGCGGUUGUAUUCAUUGGUCAGAUGGUGAGGCUAUUGAGUUCAUGAAGGUCUGCAGAGGAGCUGAGGGCAUUUGACUCUUUCAUUAUGAAGACUAUCACAUAGGAUAUACUUAGUGGUUGUGGUUUCCCAAUGUUUUUUUUCAGUAUGGAUGGUGUUGCUUAUCCUUUUGGCUAAAAGGAUGCAGUGAACAUUCCUAGGAACAAUUGUGUGGCAUUAGCAACUUGUGUUCUAUAGUCACACACACCUACUCAGUGAGGAGGAUGCUUCCUUCCUUGUUGUAGUUUAUAGGUUAAGCUAGUUAGGAUAUUGGUAUGCAUAAGAGAUUUUGGUUUUCUUUAGUUAUAUUUCUUUUUAAUGUAGAAUUAUGAUAUAUUGACAACUUAUUAUCUUUUAUAAUAAUAUAUUUGUGAAAUUACAUUAUGCUUUUCAUUAUUAUAUAAUUCAUGUGUUUGUUGGAGGAGGAAAGACACAUGAAAUUGUUGAUUUAUUCUUGUAGAUGGUGAGGAAAGGUUUGUGGCCAAAAGAAGUGAUUGUGUGAAAGUUGUUCUUGUAAAUUGUGUUGAUUUAGGGGACAUAGAGUUUGGUAGGAGUGAUCAUGGAUUCAUAAAGACUUCAAGCCACUUAAGAUUUUAUAUACAAAGGGAAAAAAAACUCUUAAAACACAAAUUAUGUGUACCAGAUGAAUCAUUAAUUGAUACAAUCAAACUCAAUCAUAAGAUGAUAAAAUCAAACAAAUUCAUCAUCAUAUAGUAUAUCAUCAUCAUAGUAUAUCAGUAGAAACAUCACAUAAUAACUCCAUUUGAAUCAUGACAUAAUACUUUCGUUUGAAUAUAAAAUAAUAGAUAAUGAGAUGAUGUUCUAUCGUAAUAAACAAAUUUUGAGUCCAUUUUAACUAAUAUCGUACUAAAAGUUGGUGUCCGUUUUGCAUGAAUCCAUUCUGAAUUUUGUAGGCACCUAUCUCAUAUUAUAGAAUUAUGCAUAACUUAACAAAGGAAGAGUUUUAUCGGGCCACAAGAAAACGAAAAGAUGCACCAGAUAAAAUAUCAAUCUUCAUCAAAUUGAAGUAGUAGAAGUAUGAUUCUUUUAUGAAGAUAAUUUGCUACCACCACUCACUCUUUUCACUCUUUUCUUGGCUAUUACGUUUUAAUGAUCUCAAUAUUUUAUUUUACAUUAUAAGUAAUCAUGGAUGAAAAAUAUAUUUAUAAUAAUAAUAUAUUUUACUCAGGAACCACCACCAGGAGGUUUACUUAAGGAAUUCAUAAUUCCACCAAAAAGACAAUGGUACCAGUAACAUGAACAUAUAUAUAAAGCUUUACAAAUGUAUCAACAUGUCACAAAAACAUACCUCUUAGCAUACUAACCGAAACCUGCUCUGACCACAAGUCAAUCAAAAAACCCGCCUAAAGGUAAGGUUAAUGCGUGUGGCUUCAGCUUUGGGUAUAGCCUCUCAUCACCAAAAGGGAUCCAUGUUUAAGUCUAAACGUAUGCUGAUCAGCAUCAUGGCUACCCUUCUUUAAUCUCUUGCUGGCAGGUUCAUCACUUCCAUCUGAAGAUCCACAACAAAUGAUAACAAGUUCAUGCACAUCCACAUAAAAAUCCACUACUAUUGUAUUAACAUAUACAGGAAGAAAUACAGGAGACUCUGCAAGUGUAAUCAUAACUCUAACAACAAAAGAAAUCAUACCGCAAGAUUUUUUACAUGGCUUCUUCUUCAGAACAAAGUCACGUUCACAUCCCAAACUUAGAGACGCAAUUUCAGGUGUUGGUCCAUAAAGCUUCUCAUCAUCAGAAUGCCAACCAACAUAGUCAUUACCACCGUUGUACCUAUUUAAGAGUAAGCUAUUAAAACUACUCAGGAAGAGCUUUGUGGACCUUCAGAAGUAAGUAGAAAGACACAUUAAGUAACACAUCAAACCUAUAUAAAAAAAAUGAACAUUUGUUACACUAACUGCCUAAGAACAGGGGCGUAUUUUCAAACUAGAUUGAUGAUUAAUAGCUUCAUUUUUUUAUUCUAAAGGGUAAACGACAAAAGAUGAAAUUCGUGUGGAAUCCCACUUUCCAGGUUGGGUAGAAUUUGAAAGAAAUGUGGGAACGAUAUGAACCUGAAGGAAGGAUUUUCCGAAGACGCGAAUGGUGGGUCUGGUCCAUGGAAUGUGUUUGUCGAGAUAUUGGAACCAUUUCCAUGACUGAUCGGAGGGUAUUAACCGCUGAAUGUAUACAACGUCGCUUCCAUUUCCGAGAUCCACCGUUUCCCUUUUCACACUCUCCUUAGUAUCAAACAAUCUUCAAUCACAAGUCCCAUUGUUGAUCUUAAACUUGUGUAGCUCAGACUCUAAAGUCUUGACAAUCUCAGCUUUCUCAGCAGGGGGUUCAGGAAAAUCUACAUGGAAUGAUCCCUGCUUGAUUGGUUCAACAGGUUCUUGGAUUCUGGAUUCCUCCUUUAUGUGAUUGUAGAGCUUCUGAUGGAAAGGAUGAUCCAAGGAAUAGCAGUUUUCACUUCCAUUUCCAUUCUCUGAAUGCCUGGAUGAUCAAGAGCCUUAUCUUCUACAGAAAUGUGGCAGCGAUGGCACUUUUCUUCUUGUCCUCUCUUGUAGAAGUGGCUUCACAACCUGCCAAUGCAAGUCUUAAUAAGCAUUAUCCCUAGGUGCAAAACUUAAACUAGUAUAAUGAAUAAAAAUAUCAUACAGAAAACCAAGUCACAAGGAAACCUUCCAACAUGCUGAAAAUAUGUAUGGCACAUUUACAAUGUAAUAAGUAUUUGUUUUCUAAGGGUAGUUCAGAUCAUCAAUGGAUGAUAUUAUUGUUAACAACUGCAUCAGCAAUGAAAGACAACUCAGCGAUAUUGGAAAAUAUUUAAAAACAAAGGCAAAAAGUUGACCAACUCUACUGCUUUAUGCAUUUAUGCACAAAGUAAUAACAAAAAUAGUUUAAUCUAAACUCAAUCUUGCAGUGCAACUUUGAGUAAGUCCAUUACUUCCGGAUAUGCUCUAGUUUACUGAACAUCACAUGUAAAUAGUAAUCUACGAACACAAAUCUCUUAACCGUACCGACUCUUAUGGUUGCAUUACCAUUUAUACAAACCUGCAUGAUUAUUUUCCUAACAUUAUAAUGUAUUAUGAAUUCAUUCAAUUCCCAAUUGUACUAACCCUGCUGGACCAGGUAGCUGUAUCAAUUAGAAUGUACCUUGAUCUGAUUCAGGACUGACAACUUCAGACCAGUCAUAUCCAAAACUUUUACACAUGUGGUAAUAGGCUGCCCAUGCUUCUUUGAUGCAGAAGGCUACAAGCACAUACGGGUCAAAACAAACAAAAGGGCAGAAUCUAAAUUAGCAGGUUAAUUAAAAAAUUAAGAAUCUAAGAGGACUCCGAAGUGAAAUGCCCACCAAUAUUACACGAUCACGAUAUUCGUUAAUUUGAAUAUGAGACUGCACAUAAUAAUGGACCUGCAAUCAUACAAGCAUGCAAAAUAGUGUUAGAAUUAGAAGAGAUAAGAACACAAGGUUUUUAAGAAAAAGAAAUAGAUAGUGCUCUAAAGUCCAAACAUAGCCAUUAAAAAUGCUUACAGAUGCUUUGUCAAAUGAGCUAAGCCCAACACCAAUUGCAAAGACAGGAAGACCCUGGAAAGUAUGGCAGGCAGAACAAGCAUUAAAAUUGGCAUGAGAUAUAUUAAGCAAGUUAAUGACAAUAAAAAUAUGUAUUUAGAUAACAAUCAAGCACAACUAAGAUUAUAUGUACUGAGAAAAGGUUGUGUUUGAAGAGCACCUCACCUCUCUUGAGUACCCAGACAAACCUAUAAGUUGUGAAUCACGAAUGCCUCGGUAAAAAUCAGUAGGAAUUAUAGGUUUCUGAAAGAAUGAAACAGCAUCCAGGUUUAACAUGCAAGAACUCAUAGUCUUGUGCAAUAAGUAUACAUUUUAAUAAGAUUUUGUCAAAAAAUACAUAAAGGCCCACGGCGAGAACAUCUCUGAAUCACAGACAAACUCCAAACUAAAAAAAUAUGAACUACCAAAAAAUGUCCAAACAAUAAUAUACAAGGAUUGGUGGAAUCUAGACUUACCGAUAAUAUGUUGUCAAUCUCAUUUUGCACUCUCCAGUUUAAACAAUCGAUUAUCUGAAUACAGGCAUUUACAACUAGAUUAGUUGGAUAAUAACAGCCAAUUUCCAACAAUAAACCAAUAUUGCUAAACAACCAUUGCCACAUCGCUAUAACAUGGCUCUUCCACUGCACAUGUCUUACCAUUUUAUGCGCCUUGGUAACAUUCCACUCCCUUGCUUUUAGAAAUCUCAUUAGGGUUUCGGUGACACAUCCUUGAUGAACAUUCUGCAAAGAGCUGCAAUUAAAUUCCAAAGGGGAUAGAGUGUUUUUCAAGUGAAAAACACUUGACCUUAAGCAGUUGCAAUAAGUUGCUAAGAGAUCACUAGAUUACACCAAACUCCAUCAUAAUUAGAAUAGGUAGAUAAUCGCACGCAAUUGAUUAAAUUAGCAGCCAUCCAGAAAUAGAAAGUUCUUAUUUCUAACUACAUAUAUGUCAACACACUUAAAUAAUAGGAGGUGUGAACCAUACGAAAUGAUUGUCCCCUUUCAACCAAGUUAACAUAGAGAGUUGAAGAAAAACACAGAAGUACAACAUUGAUUGACCUUCACACUUGAAAUCAGAUCUCAUCUCCCUCCCCCUUUCUUUAGCUAAAUCAUCACUACCAGAGAAAAGCCUUAAACGGGAGAGAAGGAAUGUAGAAGAGCCAAUUAGUCAACAGCAUCCAUGAAACACAUAGAAGCAGCAAUCACCAAAAUUUCAGGGUUCAAAAGGCCACAGUAAACAAAAUCCAUUGAACCACCACAUGCAAUUUACCGAGGUCAGACACACAAAAAAAAGAGAGAUCAGGGUCAGCACGCAGAUGUUGAAAACAAACAGACAUCCAAGAAACAAAAACAGAAGAAAAAAAUUAAAAUGUUAAAAUCAUAUGGGAAUGAGUAACCAAAAUGGUCACCUGAAAAGUUCUGAGCAGUGACUCCUCCUCAACUAGCAUCAUUGGAAAGAAACAAUUCAAUAAAAGGAAAAAAGAAAAGAGAGAGGGGGGAGAGAGAAAAGAAAAAUAGAGAAAGAUGGAAAAAAAAAAGAGAGAAGAUGUGAUAAAGGUAAGACCUUGAUCCAUGAGAGCUUGAAGCUUGUUGAGGGCAUCCUCAGAAACAACAAGGCUCAUUUUUUUUGUGUUGGUGAGAGAAUGAAGAGAAGCAAAAGCCCAGCAGAGGAAAGAAGAGAAGAAAAAAGGAGUAUUUGUUUGGUAGUUUUUGUAGCUUGUGCUUCACUCUCUCACUAUCUAGAGUGUUUGCAUUGCUUGACUGUUACAGAUACAGUACUGCACACCAAAGUUUGAUGUUAUAUGCAGUCAUUCUACUUAAUGUACAGCAAGUGACUCAGAGGUAGAUAGUUGCAUAGAUAGAUAUACCCAAGAUUCACCUCAUUCACCUCUCUCUCUCUCUCUUCCUUUUCUUUAUUUUGCAUUCUAAUAAUUUGGUUGGAUGUCUUUUUCAAUAUUAUUUUUAAUAAAAUCUGUAGAAACUUUUUUUCAUUCUCAAUUAUUAAAAAUAUAAUAAAUCAUCUUAAUUAAAAUAAAAUUGUAAACUAAGUUUAUGUUAUGUUCUUUAUUUUUAUCUUAAUUCAAAUUAUAUUUUUUAAUUGUAAAUGUAAGAAUAUAACUAGUAAUCCCAAAUCAAGAUUGUCUCCAAACAUGUAGAAGUGCACCAUAAUAAUAAAUUAAUUGUAUUCAAAAUAAUAUAUUACAGAAAAUCUAAAAUUGUGUUGAUAGAAUUUUUCCCACUUCACAUUAAUCUUUUUAUGUUUUAAUUUAAAUCAAACAAAAUUGUGUUUUAAACUAUAUUAUUCGAAUGUAGAUUACUCAGUUAAGAAAAAAUAAGUUUUAAUGUACAAUAAUAGUUAUAAGACUUUUUUGGGUAGACAUAAUAAUUAUAAGAUUUUACUUCAAAAUAAACCACAAGGAGGACCUAGCUUAAUUAAAAAAAAAUUAAUCGACUGGUCCCAUUGAAAUUUGUCCAUAUGUAAUGCAGAGAAGAAUUAAUGGUAAAGUAAACAAACAUUAUUCUUUCUUCUUCAUAAAUGCAAGGAACUUUUACAUCAAGAACAAUGUUAUCAACAAAUAUAAUUUCUUUUUCUUUAUAGUUCAGUAUUCAACUUAAACUACUUUUUAACACACGAUAUAUAUAGAUAUAAAGUGAAAAUAAAAAAGUUGAACUUGUUUAAUUUGAAAGAAAAAAAACUUAUAUUACUAAAAGUAAUUUUUUUAUUUUUUUACAUAAUUUAUUAUUUAAAUUAUAUAAAACUGGUUUAACAUUAAUGAAAUAACAUCCUACUCCAUAUUAAAAAUUAUUUUCUUACGUCAAUAAAACUAAUAAGUAAUAAUUUUUUUAUUAUAAAUAGUUAAAAUUUAGAUAAAAAUCAAUUUUGUGUUUAGAAAAUGAAAAAUAAAUUUAACUCUAAUGUAAUCGAUUAUUAUUAAUGUUGAGUAGUUGAGUUGUUUUGUUACUAUUUUUUUUCAAAGAUUUAGCUCAGUGUUCUGAAUUAUAUAUAAUCUAUAUAAUUUGUGAAUGCAUCGAAAAUAAUUUAUAUUUAACUUAUAUAAUUUAUAUUUAGCUUAGAAGGAUUUGUGAUGACAUGAUAAUCUGAAAAAAAAAGGUUGUCAAAUAAAAAAUAUCCUAAGAUUCCAACAAGCCAUGAUGGAUAUAACAUUCCACACUAAAAUAUGAGUUGGAAAAAUAUUGAGGUUGACAAUUCUUUGUACGGAAAGGUGGCUACUCCUCUUUUUUUUAGAGCCCUUGUCUAGACUGGAGAUGAUACUGUAGCCGCAUAUGGAUGUAGGGUGUUAUCCUGUUUGGAUCUGGUAAUGAUCGAAAAUAAAGGUGAGAGAAAAGUUGAGCCAAAUAAAAAAGUAUUCAGAAGUGAAGAAAAAGAAGAGAGGGAAGGAGUGAGUGACACAUAGGAUAUGUCUCAAUUUUGAGUAAACCUUUGCAUCUGAAUCCAUUAUACAAGUGUAGUAACUUUUUAUUACUAUAUGCUUGUAACCAACAAAGAGGUUGAGUCUUAGUUAAAGAAAUCAAAUAGAAAAAAAUGAGUGAAGUUAUUCUAUAUAACAUAUAUAAUAUAAUAUAACAUAAAUUUUUAAAAAAUAAAACAUAAACAAGAAUACUUUGAUUUUGAUUUCCGUCCAAAAUGAAAGAAAUUAUAUAACAUUAAUCAGACAGACCAUAUAAUUUUUAUCACAAAUUUCAGUAUAUUUAUGAGUGAUAUUACGAAGACUCAUCGAAGCAUGGAAAAAGUCAACAUUGUCGCUCUCAGACUCUUCGGUAGAACAACACAAGUGAUAAUGUCGGUGAUUUGACAGUCACGAGGGUACUAUUAUUAUGACAUCAUUUAUUCCAACUAUUCCAACUGGGAAAUCAUAGUAAUAUAUAUAUAUAUAUAUAUAUUUCUGCUCCAACCUUUUAUCAUGUCUUCCUUUCUCUCUAUAUUAACUUACGUGUAGAGGAGGAGAGAAAUAAUUGUAAUACAUGCUAUUAGUGGAUACACUUUCACACAAAAUAUUAUUUCUUAGUAAAAAAAAAUACCUAAUUAAUUUAAGUUAUUAAUCUUGAAAUAAAGAAAAUGGUGAAAUUAAGAGUAAUUAUUAUAUAUAUUGGUUCACUUAGUUUUUUGUUAUUUUGAAUUUUUGGCUGUGCGUAAGUUUUAAAGAGAUCUUAAAUAAGUAUACUUUACAAUGAAUUUAAUCAAUUUAUAUGAAAAAGAACUUCAUCAAAAUGUCAUUAUAUUAAUUUUCUUACUACGAGUUUUCUUGAAUUCAUCCGUCGAGUUACAUAGUUAUAGUUUACCUCACAAAUUUUUAAACCAGAUCAAACAUAAUUGAUCCACUGUAUACAGAUGAAAUUGAUUUUUAUCAAAACGAGAUAAAGUUUUCUGUACUUCUCACAAUAAUUUAGAAAAAGUUCUUAAUUAUUAACAUUUUAAUAAAGAUAAAUAAACAUGUAAAUAAUUAAUAAAAGAUAUUAUUAAAUUUUUACUAUAUAAAUAAAAUAACUAUUUUAUAAGUUUAUAAUUUUUAUUUUUAAAGUUUUAAAUUUUCAAAUUAUUUUAAAGAGAUAUGAGGUAUACUUGAAAAUUACGAAUCUCACAAAUUAUAAAUUUUACAAAUAAAUAAAUUUAUUAAAUUAAUAAAAUUUAUUAUUGAUAAUAAUAAUAAUAAUGAUAAUAUAUGACUUUUAAUACUCAAAAUUUUAUUUUAUUCUGAGAAAAAAAUAGAUUUUUUCAUAAUGCUGUGUAUAAAUGUUUUUUUUUUACAGAAUCAUAACAUAAAAAUUUUCGAAAACAUUAGUUAUUAAAUCUGUUAUUUUUCUUAAAUAUAGAAAAUAUGAAAAUUUCAAUUUCAAUUUUAUUGAAAAAUUAAUUUUUUUUCUUUCUAUCAAAUGUUUGUCUCGUAUAAAUUGAGCAAAUAAAGUGUAAUAUCUAAAAAAAAUAUUUAUUAUCAAUUAAAAAUAUCAAAGUUUUAAUUAUAUUAUUUAAUUUUUUAAUUUAAGUGUAAUAUAUUGUUAUAUUAUUAAAAUAAGGUUAUCAGAGUGAUUUUUUAAGAGGUCAAAGUAUAAUUUCUUAAAAUGAAAAUCAGAAAAAAAAGAGUAAAGUUUGAUAAUAACAUAUAUAUGAUAUGACAUAAUAUAUAUAUAUAUAUAAAUAUAAAACAUAGAUAUAAAAUUUAAUAAAUGUUUUAGGAAGGAGAAUCUUUUGGUAAGUAAAGUUUGGAACAUCUGUUUUAUUUGUCCAUAUAAUAAACUACAAAGACUCUAACUAUUCAUUUUCUUUCUCUUCUUCAUUUGCCUCCCCUUAUCUUUCACAUAUUUUAAUAUCUUGUAUUUACUCCUUUUUGAAAAGUCAAAUUAGGCUGCUCUGAGCCUUUUCCUGGAAGAUGUCAAAAUUAUUAAGAAACCAAUAAACUAUUGUUUAAUAUUAGGCAAUCUUGUGAAAAUCAUAGUAAUAUAAACACCCAUAUCCUGGUAUGAAGUUGGAGGCUUGCACCAACACCUCUUGAAUCUUGAAGCAGCGAAACAAGCCACAAUGAUUUUGAAAUUGGUGAUCCAUUUCAUCAUUUUGGUAAUGCGGGAGGUAUCUGCAUAUCCUCCAAGAAUUGGUAGGACACGUGUAGAAAAGCCUGGCUGUGAAUGGCAAUGUGGAGAUGUUUCAAUUCCCUUUCCGUUUGGAAUGAAGAGUUCGAAGUGCUAUGCAGGGAAAUGGUUUGAAAUAGAAUGCAGAAACACUUCCUCCUAUAACAAUUACAGUCACACACCUUACCUGAAGUCAAUAGGAGUGGAAGUGAUAUCCUUUGAUCUCAGAAGAGGCCUGGUUACUAUCAAUCAUCCUAUUUACCGUAGUAACUGCGGAUCCAAAGAUUCUCCGCGGGUCAACCAGUCCCUGGAAGGAAGCCCUUUCGUGUAUUCCCGUAAAUACAACAAAUUUGUGGCCGCAGGUUGUAAUAUUAUGGCUUUUUUGCAGUUAAAUGGGUCAGGUAGUGGUUGUGUCUCCAUUUGUGACGAGGACUACAAGGUGGGUGACGCUAAUUGUAAUGGGAAGUCAUGCUGUGAGAGUUCCCUGCCACUGUACCUUACACAAUACAGCACUGUAAUAAAAGCUUUAAAGGAUAAUGAAACGAGUCAUGGGUGCAGUUACGCCAUGGUUGUAGAGAAAGUUCUGAGCUACCGCUACUACUUUCCUGUGAAUGGUGUGAUGAAGGAUUUAGCUGUGGUCCCUGCAGUGCUCGAAUGGGAGAUUGUGAACAGUUUGAACCUUACACUCCCUUUAGAUCAUCUCUCCUACUGUGAUGAUACUAAUGUUACAUCUUCACUAUAUAAACGUUCAGGUCAGAGAUGUUCCUGCCGAUUCACUUUCGGUAAUCCUUACUUUGUCGGAGGUUGUAAAGGUAAAUAUAUUAUUUCCUGUUGUAUAAUUCAAGAAUUUACGACUACAAUAUUGUUUUGUUUUUUCUUAUUUUAAUCCUAAUUCUUAUAUUUUUAGUUCUUAAAUACUACUUUAUUUAUUUAUUUAUUUAAAAUUAAUAUUUUUUAGUCUAUAAAAUAUGCAUUUUUAAUAUAUAUAUAUUCAAUGUCCAUAAAAUACUUUGAAAGAGAAAAUACCCAUAACAUAAAUAUUAAAUAAUGGGAGUGUAUUCUUUGAAACAGUUCUUAUUUGCUGUUUUUCACUCCAAUCUUUUUUUAUUAAUAGACAUUGCUAUCAGCAUUUGUAUUGAAAAACAUUAUUAUAAAUAUUUUAAACUUUAUUUUUCACAGAUGAUCCUCCUCCGAUAUACAGGAAAUCGAGAAGUUCCGUAACAAUAUCCAUCAUAAAAGGUAUGUAUGAACUAUGAAGUGGUUAAUAAUUUAUAUGAUUUUUUUUUCUUAAUUAGGAGCAUUGAUUAUCUUUAUAUAUUAAAAAUAUACUAUUCACACACGACUAAAAUAAAAUAAAAAGUGCGAAAAAUCAAUAAAUUAAAAAACAUAAUAAAACACAAAAAUUAUAAUGUUAAACUUUAUUCGUUACUAUAAAAAAAAUUUCAAGUAUCGUAUAAAUCAACAUUCUUUGACAGCAUAAAUCAACAUUCUUUGACUGCAUAAAUCAACAUUCUCUUGAACUUACACUAUUUGUUAAGACGUACAUGACUUAUUCAUACCAUGUCUACUGUUUUGAAAUAAAAAAAUCGCUAGCAACCUAGCACAGAAAUAAAGCAAGAUAUAACGUAAAUAAAAUAAUAUAGUAAAUAAUUCAAUAAACCAAAUCAAACAAAAAUUAGGAAAUUUCAUGAUAUUGAAAUUAUAGAUCUGUUGUAUGUAGGACUGUUUUCUCGUUUUUUUUUACAUAAAAAUAUAUAUGUACAAACAUAAACAGUAAAAAUUCAAAUGUCACACAAUAAAAUAGGUUUGUUAAUAUAUUUAACAAUGAAAGAAAAAUGAGUUAAAAGUAACUUUUUAUUGAAUGAACAAUAUUCAAAUAAUUCAAAAAUCGACUCAAAAUAUUUGAGUAACUUGAGUUAUUCAUUAUUUUUUCUUUAUUUUAAUGUCGUUAAUUAAUAAAAUUAACUAGAAGUUUUCAAUUUCCAUUAAAUAAGAUAUAUGAAUGUGAAAUAUAUUACAUUGUUAUGGGAGCUAAUGAACUAGACCAAUAAGUCAUUGAUGUAAUGGAAAUUGAACUUCUUUUUCUUGAAAUAGGAUUUUGAACUUAAAUUUUAUUGAUAGAAAAAAAUAUAGUGGGAAAGGAAAUCUAUUGGAAAGUAAUGAUUCACGUUCUUUGUAAAAUAUUAGUUAUCAUUAAAGUUGGUGAAUAUUUUCUACCAGUAAUAUAUUUAAAUUAAAGGUAAAUAGUAUCCCAGUAAUUAUAUUAUUAUAUAAGUAUGAUUUAAAUUUGAAUAAAAAAAAUAAAAUUUAUAAAAUUUAAUAUAUUUUUGUGGAUAUGAAUUAAGCUGUAAAUUUUGUGGGAUAAAUGUGGUUUGUAAAAAUUAAAGUGAAUUUAAGAUGUAAAUUAUUAUAGUACAUGUUUGUAUAAAAUAAAAGCUAUUUUUUAUCGAAUCUCUUCGCAUACCUAGUUUUACUUGUGUGUCUUGGCAAUGUUAAUCCAUACCUAUGAUGAUCACUAAUAUACAUCAAUAUUAUAGUUAAAAAAAUAUAGUUUUUUGUUAACUUGAACUGUGUAUACUUUUUAAAUUAAAAUAUAGAUAUUUUGUUAUCAUACUAACCAAUUUUGGCAACAUCCUACUUUCAUUACAAGAAAAUUACUAUAACCUUAACUUGGGCAGUGGAUUCAGACUUGAUAUACUUCUCCACAUUUGCAUAUGCCCUUUUCAUAUUUGGUAGAUACAUUAAAUAACUCCACACAUACAUACUGUUUUAUAAUAUCUUAUUUAAAUACUCUUAUGUGCUUAUACAUAUACAUAUAUAUAUAUAUAAGGUUUUCCAAUGUUGGAAAUUUGUUUUAGUUUAAUCUUAAUUGUUAGACUUUCUAAAUGCUCAAAGUUGCGUAUAAGUGAAAAAGACUUAUUUUAAUGUAUUGAUGUGGUAAACUGUGUAGGAGUUUCUAUAAGCUUCGGAUCCAUCAUUUUACUCAUUAUUUUAUGGCGAGUGUUGAAGGCUACAAAAAAAACUAUAGUGGGAAAAUACAGAAAAAGAAUCUUCAAAAGAAAUGGAGGAUUAUUGUUAAAACAAAGAUUGUCUUCUGGUGAAGUUAAUGGGGAUAAAGUUAAACUUUUCAGCUUAAAGGAGUUGGAGAAGGCUACCGAUAACUUCAACACGAAUAGAGUAAUUGGAAAAGGAGGUCAAGCUACUGUUUACAAAGGCAUGUUGAUUAAUGGAAUAAUUAUUGCAGUGAAAAAAUUUAAGGUCCAAGGUAAAAUAGAAGAAUUCAUCAAUGAAUUUGUCAUUUUGUCACAAAUUAACCACAGAAACGUGGUCAAGUUGUUAGGAAGUUGUUUGGAGACUAAAAUUCCUUUGCUUGUUUAUGAAUUCAUUCCUAAUGGUAACCUUUUUGAGUACUUGCAUCAACAAAAUGAAGAUUUGCCAAUGACAUGGGACAUUCGUUUGAGAAUUGCCACUGAGGUUGCUGGAGCUUUGUUUUACUUGCACUCUGCUGCUUCUCAGCCUAUUUAUCAUAAAGAUAUCAAGUCAACAAAUAUACUUUUGGAUGAAAAGUAUAGAGCAAAAGUAGCAGACUUUGGUACAUCUAGAAUGAUUUCCAGUGAUGUUACUCACCUUACUACAGUAGUUCAAGGAACAUUUGGAUACUUGGACCCUGAAUAUUUUCAAACUAGUCAAUUCACAGAAAAAAGUGACGUCUACAGCUUUGGAGUAGUUCUUGUUGAACUCUUAACAGGGAAAAAGCCAAUAACCCACACAAGUUCAGAGGAAGCCAAAAGUUUAGCUUCAUAU
Molecule: long non-coding RNA, 14066 nt
Filed under: Phaseolus vulgaris (common bean)
Lineage: Eukaryota; Viridiplantae; Streptophyta; Magnoliopsida; Fabales; Fabaceae
Description: long non-coding RNA (PVUL_LNC002737)
Source: RNAcentral